RNAcentral lists this ribosomal RNA (253 nucleotides) under uncultured bacterium. RNAcentral's name for it is "partial 16S ribosomal RNA". It matches the Rfam family "Bacterial small subunit ribosomal RNA", at positions 524 to 776 of the family's 1533-position model. The record is from RNAcentral.
GACAGAGGGGGCAAGCGUUGCUCGGAAUUACUGGGCGUAAAGGGUGCGUAGGCGGGAUGGCAAGUCGGUCGUGAAAUCCCUCGGCUCAACCGAGGAACGUCGAUCGAUACUGCUGUUCUUGAGGAUUGCAGAGGAGACUGGAAUUCCCGGUGUAGCGGUGAAAUGUGUAGAGAUCGGAAAGAACACCAACGGCGAAAGCACUCUGCUGGGCCGACACUGACACUGAGAGACGAAAGCUAGGGGAGCGAAUGGG